This 387-nucleotide ribosomal RNA is filed under the name uncultured bacterium. Its description in RNAcentral is "bacterial SSU rRNA". It matches the Rfam family "Bacterial small subunit ribosomal RNA", at positions 27 to 416 of the family's 1533-position model. The record is from RNAcentral.
GGACGAACGCUGGCGGCGUGCUUAACACAUGCAAGUCGAGCGGUAAGGCCCUUUCGGGGGUACACGAGCGGCGAACGGGUGAGUAACACGUGGGUGACCUGCCCUUAGCUCUGGGAUAAGCCUGGGAAACUGGGUCUAAUACCGGAUAUGACUCCAUGACGCAUGUUGUGGGGUGGAAAGCCUUGUGCGGCUAGGGAUGGGCCCGCGGCCUAUCAGCUUGUUGGUGGGGUGAUGGCCUACCAAGGCGACGACGGGUAGCCGGCCUGAGAGGGCGACCGGCCACACUGGGACUGAGACACGGCCCAGACUCCUACGGGAGGCAGCAGUGGGGAAUCUUGCGCAAUGGGCGAAAGCCUGACGCAGCGACGCCGCGUGGGGAUGACGGCC